Chrysemys picta bellii (western painted turtle) is the source of this 1250-nucleotide non-coding RNA. The record is from RefSeq and is a predicted model, not a curated record. NCBI's taxonomy places the organism in Eukaryota, Metazoa, Chordata, Testudines, Emydidae.
CACAUGUGGCCCACCUCCUCAAGUACUCCAUGGAAAAGUGGAAGGAUCAGAUUACCGUUGGGGGUCCAGUAUAAGUUAUAAUUGUGCAGAGGGCUAUCAGUUAUCCAAUGCAGCUAUUCUUUCAUGUGAAGGACGAGGUGUAUGGAGGGGAGAUGUCCCACAAUGUCUCCCUGCAUUUUGUGGAGAUCUUGGUACUCCAGCUGAGGGGCGUCUUAAUGGGAAAAGUUUCACUUACAGAUCUGAAGUCUCCUUUAAGUGCCGACCCCCUUUUAUACUGAUAGGAUCUUCAAGAAGAGUCUGUCAAGCAGAUAGUGUUUGGAGUGGAAUUCAACCAACAUGUAUUGAUCCAGCCCAUAACACUUGCACAGAUCCUGGUACUCCACCUUAUCGAAUACAGAACAAUUCUAGGGGUUAUGACCUUCCCAAGCAGCCAGAACUUGCUGAACGUUCAAAAUCUCCUCAAACGUGUUUUGGGAUAUUUUUCCCCUGCAUUCUCCAGCCAGCCCUACAGAUGAGGAUGAGAACAAACCGAAGGAAACAAGCCAGCCGUGGGCAACUCCCCAUUCACCGCACCGGAGGGCUGCAGUGCUGCCUAACAGGGCUAAGUGGGGGAGAAAGAGCUGCCUUCACAAAUGCCCCAGUCACAGAGUCUCCACCAGCCGGUCCCAUUGGCUUCAUCUGGAUCCAGAGGAAACCUAGUUUGAUAAAUAAACGCUGCCCUGAGGCGCGCGUGGCAGGCUCCUUCAGUGAGCCAAGGCAGAAGGAUGGGAGCAACCAGCCCUGUAGUUGGUUUCUUGCUCUACCCUGGGCUUGUUAACAGCUUCAGUGGGAUGCAUCUAAUACAUUAGAAUCCCUUUGGUAAUAACCACGCCCUCACUCCCCCCGCCCUCCCCGAACACUCUUGCCCGGGCUGGCAGGUGGCUCCGUCACGUGGCAUAGGCAGCCGGAUUUCCCAGCUACGGGAAGUGUUUCCACCUACCUUGAUCUGUUCAUAUUCAGCAUCAGCAUCGUGGUCUUUGAGCUGUUUGUAAAAGAGCGGCACCAGCAGCUGGGAAAACUCUGGGCGCAUGCGGUGCUGUUUGAGACGAGAACGGGACACCCAGCUGAGAGCCACGGUUAUUCUUUGGUAACUAUUUAAAAACCCUCCCUUGGCCGUGGAUUAACUGUUUGCUCCACGUUUGUUACAGUUCUGCCUGCUUCGGGCUGGCGGCUGCCAGCCCUUUGGUGAAGGGAUUGGAGCCUUCCUCAAA